This 253-nucleotide ribosomal RNA is filed under the name uncultured bacterium. Its description in RNAcentral is "partial 16S ribosomal RNA". It matches the Rfam family "Bacterial small subunit ribosomal RNA", at positions 524 to 776 of the family's 1533-position model. The record is from RNAcentral.
UACGGGGGGGGUAAGCGUUGUUCGGAAUUACUGGGCGUAAAGGGCUCGUAGGCGGCCAACUAAGUCAUACGUGAAAUCCCUCAGCUUAACUGGGGAACUGCGUGUGAUACUGGAUGGCUUGGAUUUGGGAGAGGGAUGCGGAAUUCCAGGUGUAGCGGUGAAAUGCGUAGAUAUCUGGAGGAAUACCGGUGGCGAAGGCGGCAUCCUGGACCGACAUUGACGCUGAGGAGCGAAAGCUAGGGGAGCAAACGGG